This 249-nucleotide unclassified non-coding RNA is filed under the name uncultured fungus. RNAcentral describes it as "sequence contains ITS1, 5.8S rRNA gene". The stretch from base 201 to 249 matches the Rfam family "5.8S ribosomal RNA", at positions 1 to 49 of the family's 154-position model. The record is from RNAcentral. Lineage: Eukaryota; Fungi.
UCUCCGUAGGUGAACCUGCGGAGGGAUCAUUACCAGAAGUGGUCGUACACGGCGGCUCCGGCCGCCGCGUGCGAUGGCCUCCAACCCUUUGUGAAUCGUACUCGUUGCUUCGGGGGCGACCCUGCCGUCCGCGGCUGAGCGCCCCCGGGGUCAAUCAAACACUGCAUUCUCUGCGUCGGAGUAUUAGUAAAUCUAAUCAAAACUUUCAACAACGGAUCUCUUGGUUCUGGCAUCGAUGAAGAACGCAGC